UACGUAGGGGGCGAGCGUUGUCCGGAAUCAUUGGGCGUAAAGCGCGUGUAGGCGGCCCGGUAAGUCUGCUGUGAAAGUCCAGGGCUCAACCCUGGGAUGCCGGUGGAUACUGUCGGGCUCGAGUCCGGAAGAGGCGAGUGGAAUUCCUGGUGUAGCGGUGAAAUGCGCAGAUAUCAGGAGGAACACCAAUGGCGAAGGCAGCUCGCUGGGACGUGACUGACGCUGAGGCACGAAGGCCAGGGGAGCAAACGGG
RNAcentral lists this ribosomal RNA (253 nucleotides) under uncultured bacterium. Its description in RNAcentral is "partial 16S ribosomal RNA". It matches the Rfam family "Bacterial small subunit ribosomal RNA", at positions 524 to 776 of the family's 1533-position model. The record is from RNAcentral.